Molecule: long non-coding RNA, 8254 nt
Filed under: Gossypium barbadense (sea-island cotton)
Lineage: Eukaryota; Viridiplantae; Streptophyta; Magnoliopsida; Malvales; Malvaceae
Description: long non-coding RNA (GBAR_LNC012218)
Source: RNAcentral
UUAGAGAAGAGAAAGGAGAGGAGAAAGCUCUUGAAUGUUCGGUCACUUGGGGAAGAAAAUUGAAGGUAAGUUCAUGGUAGUUUGCUUCUAUCUUGAUGUUCAUGAGUUCUUCUUGAUUCUACCUUAACUCUUGAAGCAUAUUUUGGUUUUUAGUUGUGUUGUGAGCAUUUAGUCAUGAAUUAAAAUGAAGGAAAUGGUUGUUGUUUCAUGUUCUUUUGAUGAAAUAUGGAAGAUAGGUGAAGUUGAGCCAAACAAAUGAGCAUGCAUGUGCCUUAGAUGCUAAGGGGAAAAAUCGGCUAACAUGUUGUGCUUUAAAAUGAUGAAAUAGAGAUUAUACUUAAGUAAAAUCAUAUAUAUGUGAUGAUUGAUUGGUGAUAUACAUGUUUAAAUAACAAGCAUGCAAGUUAGGUGUGAAAGAGUGAUUUGGUAAUAAAUCUGCUUGGGACAGCAGUAGUAACGUGACUUUGGAAAAUCACCAUAAAUUGUGCGAGAUGAGUUAGAAGCUGCAUAAAUUAUGUAAUUAAAGAUUAAUGAGUCUAGUUUCAAAUGGACUAAACGAGAACAUAUUUUGAAUUCUGUAAAAUGAGAAAUUUGAUUCGUAAUAAAGAGUGGUCAGAUUAGUCAAACAGUGAAACAUGGGAAACUUUAAGAAAAAUCUGGUAUUGAUUGGCCAUACCAAAAAUUCUUAAAAUUUUAUGGAUAGAAGAUAUAUGAGUCUAUUUUCAGGGAAAAUUAACGACACUUGAUUUUGAGUUUCGUAGCUCCAGUUAUAAAUAAUUUAGUGACGGUUGCUCAGGAAGAUAACUUGCAGUGAAAUUAUGAUUAUAUGGUAAACAUUGAAAAAAAAUUGUUAAUGAGUUGCUUAUUGUUUUCUUAUAAGCUUACUCUGAUCUGUAGGUGUGGUUGGCCGAAUAUUGUAAGGGGUUAAUACGUAGUUCGUAUUUGAAUAGUUAGAUUAACGUGUUAGUAAUCCAAUUGUAGGCGUUUCGUGUGUGGAUCUCGUCAGCAUAUCGUCGCAAACAGGUGUGUAACUGACACCCUCUCAUAGACUAGAUUGGCAAAAGCCAAAAAGCCGAAAUGCCGAAAAGUCGAUAUUUUGGGAAUUUGCGAGUGUGCGAAUGCUCGUAAGAUAGUUGGGUUUGUAUAUUUGGUGAUCUAAAGUAAUAAACUGCAGUACGCGCGAUUUCGUACAUUUUGAUAAUUUGGACUUAAUGGGCCAAAGAUCGGGUUCAUGGGCCAACGGGCCCAAUGCGGUAAGUAUGCACGGUAAGUGUUCUGAUAGUACAUAAAUAGUUAGGAUAUGCAUGAAAACCUUAAAAGUAGCUAAAUUACUAUAAUACCCUUAUGUAUGGAAAAUUACUUUUAUACCCCCUAGGUGCAAAAUUAUCGUUAUACCCCUAGGGUUAAUUUUGACUGAAAAGCAUGACGAUCUGAUUCUGUAUGAUGUAUGCCAUGAUUAUAUAUCUGUUGCAUGGGGACACGGGUUAUAUUAUGGAGGAAGCGUCCUGGUGGCUAUGCCACAAUUAUCUGAUCUGGUGGCUCUGCCACAUAUAUCUAUUCUGGUGGCUAUGCCACGAUUAUCUAAUCUGGUGGCUCUGCCACAUAUAUCUGUUCUGGUGGCUCUGCCACAAUAUCUAUAUCUAGUGACUUCUUCACAAUAUCUGGCAGCCUCGCUGCGAUUUCUGUGGUGUGUAGCGGUUGGAUGGGUCGAGUAGUCUCCCCACAUGGUGUAAGGCUGGUACGGGGGUGUUAUGGAUGAAUCUGGGUUGGGUUUCUGCAUAAACUUGUAAUAUCUGUUCUGUUCUGUUAUGAGCCUAUGGGCUUUAUUCUGAAGUUCUGUUCUGGGCUAAGGCCAACUUAUUCUGUUUCUGUGGGUUGAGCUGAUUUAGACUAUGGUUGGGUUAUUUUACACACUGAGUUUCCCCAAACUCACCCCUUUUAUUUUCAUCCACGCAGGUAAUCCCCAACUAUAGUGGGCUUGGAGCUGUGAGGGAAUUCGGAGUGGCCACCCGUUCUGAAAGCUUGAUUUUCUUCUAGUGAACUAGACAUUCUUUUAAUUACGUUUGAGGUUUUGGGCUUUUAAAUGUAAUAAGACCGCUUAUUUAUUUUUGAUGGUUUUUAUAUGUUUUAUUAAGAUAGGUAAUAUUUAUAUUUAACUGUUGAAAUUGGAUAACUUUAGAGCACGUUUUAAAAAAAACAGUAAUUAAUUUCAAAAUAACACGAAAAUAAGCAAAGCUUCCGCAAUGAAGAUAUUUUCCAAAAUUAAUCACUUUUCCUAAAAACGACUUAAUAAAAUCGAUUUUUUAGAAAUAUACAUGACGUUAAGGUAUGGCAAUGGUGGUUUGCAUGUCUAGGAUUGGAUCCGAAGGGAGUUUGGUACUUAAGCAGUCCAAUGGACUCACCUCCUCUUUUCCAGUUUCCUACCUGGUGCACAGCUUCCAUUCACUUUAACCUAUAAUGAAAUCAUCUUUUAAAACACUCAGUAAGUUUUCUUUCUGGAUCGAAAAUGUUUUGAAUGCUUCGAUGUGGCAUGUCGGAUUCGGCCAUAACGUCUGGGCCAAGUAAGGGGUGUUACAUUUAGUGGUAUCAGACCCUCGGUUGCAACAACUCAGCUGUGGAAUGGGUUUAUAAAAAAAACAAAGAUUUUCAAAAAAAAAUUUUUUUUAUAAAGAUUGCGAAAAAUGCGAUUUUCAAAAUUUAGAUCUUUAGAAGGUGGCAUUCCGAAUCUUCGGCCCAAGCCUAUAAGUAUUACUCUGAAAUUUUCUGAAUAUUCUCCUGAAUUAUCUGUCUGUACUGAAACCCUAUUAGGAUACUCUAGAUAGGAUGAUACUGAAACCAUAGGAAAAAUUGAUAAGAGAUUGAAACUAUAGCUAGACUUCGAUUCUGCGAAAACAAACUUUGAAUUACUGUCUGAUUCAUAAAACAUCUGUAAUAAUCACUGGAAUACUAAGUUAAUCAUAAAAUUCGUAAACAGAUAAUACGAUAUGAGUACAAGAGCUACUCGUGGAAGAGGCCGUGGACGUGGCCGAGGAAGGGCUCGAGUGGUAUCUUCGUCUUUGGGACAUAUGCCAGCGGCAGAUGCACCGGUACCAUCGGCAACAGAAGUGGAGUCUCAUGAUCGUGGUGCCGGGGAUGACGCUCUAUCACAGGCAAUGCUUCGUAUUCUGGAAAGGGUUACCUGGACAAGUUCGGGCAACGGAAUUCGAGGAUCGAUUUCUGAACGACUCCGGGCCAACGGAGCGGAGAUCUUUAGGGGUGUGUCUGGUAUCACUUCAAAUGUGGCAGAAUAUUGGUUGGAGGCCACAGAACGAAUUAUGGAUAACUUGGAUUGCUCUGUGGAGCAGAAGCUGAAGGGAGCCGUAUCGUUGCUACGGGACGAGGCUUACCAGUGGUGGCUCACUGUGAGAGAAGGAACCCCAGCUGAUAGGGUAACUUGGGGCGAGUUAUGUGGACGCCCGCAGAAAGGAAUUCUUGAAUCUGGUGCAAGGAGGUAAAACAGUUGCCGAGUACGAGGCCGAGUUUCUGAGGUUGAGCCGGUAUGCCAUGGGCAUAGUUGCUACGGAGUAUGAGCGAAGUGUGCGCUUCGAGGAUGGUCUUAGAGAUGACCUCAGAGUGGUGAUCGCUCCACAAGGGGAGCGAGACUUCACGGUCUUGGUGGAGAAGGCAAGGAUCGCUGAGGAGGAUAAGCGUGUUGAAAAGCAAAAUCGGGAGAAGGAUCGAAACUGUUUCUGGAGGGAUUCAGGACCCUCGGGUGGUGCAAAUAGGAUUAUUAAGAGAGCAAGAGUGGAGGAACCAGUUCGAGUAGUGCCGAUGAAUGUGGUCAGACCAUCAAUCUGUGGAGACUGUGGUAAGGUACAUUUGGGCGAGUGUAGGAAACGCUCUGGUGCUUAUUUUUGAUGUGGAUCUAUGGAGCAUAGAGUACGGGAUUGCCCUCAGAAAGCUGAUCAGGUUCAAGUUGCUGAACAGAGGAUUGCUCAACCCGUCGGGGUCGGGUGGCACCUGGCAGGGGUGUCGAAAAUGCUGAAGCUCGACAGCCAGCUUUGGUGGAUGCAGCUUGUUGUUGAGAGGAGGGCGACGCACCUGACGUCAUAACUGGUACGUUCUUGGUUUCUGGCAUUCCAUAUACUACUUUGGUGGAUAUUGGAUCUACUCAUUCCUAUGUUGCAUGUGCCAUAUAUGGGUUGUUAGGUGUACACUCUGAGAAGAUGGUGAGUGGGGUAUCUGUACUAAGUCCUUUGGGUCACUCGGUUAGGGUAGACAAACUGUAUAGGGAUGUACCCUUAGAAACUCAAUGUAGGAUUUUCCUUGGAGAUCUGAUAGAGUUACCAUUCGGAGAGUUUGAUCUCAUUUUGGGAAUGGACUGGCUUGUUAAGCAUAAAGCGACUCUGGAUUGUGCUGUUAAACGAAUGGUGUUAAGGACAACAAAUGAUAAGGAGGUUAUAGUGAUAGGUGAGCGAAGGGAUUAUUUGUCCAAUGUGGUGUCGGCAUUAAGAGCCGAAAAAUGGAUUCGGAAAGGUUGUGAGGUCUAUUUGACAUUCAUAAGUAAGUCAGAAGAGGAGGGAUUGCCAGUGGAUAAGGUCAGGACUAUAAAGGAGUUCCAAGAUGUUUUUUCGGAGGAGCUUCCAAGAUUGCCUCCGAACCGAGAAGUGGAGUUUGGAAUCGACUUAUUGCCUGGAACGGCACCAGUGUCUAUCGCACCGUAUAGAAUGGCACCGAAGGAGUUGGUGGAGCUAAAGGCACAAAUUCAAGAGUUGUUGGAUAGGGGCUUCAUUAGGCCAAGCGUGUCUCCAUGGGGAGCACCGGUGCUAUUCGUGAAGAAGAAGGAUGGUACAAUGCGGAUGUGCAUUGAUUAUCGCCAGUUGAACAAACUGACAAUUAAGAAAAAGUAUCCACUUCCAAGGAUUGACGAUUUGUUUGACCAACUUAGAAGGGCUUCUGUAUUUUCUAAGAUCGACCUCCGAUCUGGAUAUCAUCAGUUAAGGGUCAAGGAAGCAGAUAUCCAUAAGACGGCAUUCAGGACUCGGUAUGGUCAUUACGAGUUAUUGGUUAUGCCAUUUGGACUGACGAACACUCCUACAGCAUUUAUGGAUCUGAUGAAUUGUGUGUUCCAACCAUUUUUAGAUCAGUUCGUAGUCGUCUUUAUUGAUGAUAUCCUGGUAUAUUCUGAAAUUGAAGCGAAACAUGAUGAGCAUCUCCGUAUAGUGCUGCGAGUGUUAAGGGAGAAGGAACUCUUUGCGAAGUUCAGCAAGUGUGAAUUUUGGUUGAGGGAGGUAACCUUCUUAGGACAUGUGGUCUCUGCCGAAGGGAUUAAGGUGGACCCUCGAAAGAUUGAAGCAAUUUUGGAGUGGAAGCCACCUAGGACGGUGUCGGAAAUUUAAAGUUUCCUAGGGUUGGCAGGAUACUAUAGAAGGUUUGUGGAAGGUAUUUCUGUGAUGGCAGCACCUCUGACAAAACUCAUAAGGAAAGGGGUACCGUUUGUAUGGACUGAGACCCAGCAGUAGGCUUUUGAAAAGUUGAAGAAAGUUCUGACUGAAGCACCUGUGUUAAUUCAGCCAGAGUCUGGGAAGGAUUUUACUGUGUACAGUGACGCAUCACAUGUAGACUUGGGCUGCGUGUUAAUGCAGGAGGGUAAGGUGGUUGCAUAUGCAUCACGACAACUUAAACCUCACGAAAGGGAACUAUCUUACUCAUGAUUUGGAGUUGGCGGCAGUGAUAUUUGCACUUAAGAUUUGGAGACAUUACUUUUACGGGGAGAGGUGUAUUAUAUACACAGACCACAAGGGUCUUAAGUAUUUGUUGACUCAAAAGGAGCUGAACCUUAGGCAAAGGAGAUGGAUUGAGUUGCUUAAGGAUUAUGACUAUUUGAUCGAGUAUCACCAGGCAAGGUUAAUGUGGUAGCCGAUGCUCUAAGUCGUAGAACUGUAUCUGAUCUGAGAGCAAUGUUUGCUUGUCUAAGUCUGUAUGAUGAUAGAAGUCUGUUGGCUGAGUUGCAAGUGAGGCAAACCUGGGUGGAUCAGAUUAAGGAAAAGUAGUUGAACGAUAAGUCUUUGGUCACUCGUUUUCAACAAGUUAAGGAAGGGGAAACUUCUGAGUUUGGGUUAAAUGGCGAAGGAGUUCUGUGUUUCCGAGGAAGAAUUUGUGUUCCAAAGGACUUUGAUUUGAGGCAGACAAUAUUGAAGGAAACUGAUGGAGGACUUUGUGCCAUGCACCCUGGAGGGAACAAGUUGUAUCACGACUUACAAGAAUUGUACUGGUGGCCUGGACUUAAGCGAGAAGUAACGGAGUUUGUAGGGAAAUGUCUGACAUGCCAGCAAGUGAAAGCUGAGCAUCAAUUACCCUCUGGACUGUUAAAGUCAGUGAAGAUACCACUUUAGAAGUGGGAGAGGGUAACCAUGGACUUUGUAAGUGGGCUGCCCUUAACACCAUCAAAGAAAGACUCGGUGUGGGUGAUUGUGGAUAGGUUGACCAAAUCGGCCCAUUUCAUACCUGUUCGUACUAACUUUUCACUUCAAAAGUUAGCCAAGUUGUAUGUGGCAGAGAUUGUGCGACUUCAUGGUGUCCCAAUUUCAAUUAUUUCUGAUCGGGAUCCCAGAUUUACAUCUCGGUUUUGGCAAAGGUUUCAUGAGGCAUUAGGGACGCGAUUGAAUUUUAGUACGGCUUUCUAUCCCCAGACUGAUGGUCAAUCAGAAAGGGUUAUUCAGAUUCUGGAGGACAUGUUGAGGGGAUGCGUGAUUGACUUUCGAGGUAGUUGGGAGGAUUACUUGCCGUUGGCAGAAUUUGCGUACAAUAACAGUCACCAAGCGAGUAUUCGAAUGGCAACGUAUGAAGCACUGUAUGGAUGCAGGUGUCGUACACCUAGUUGUUGGACUGAACUAGGAGAGCGACAAGUUCUUGGACCAGAGUUGGUAGCUAAUACUGAGGAUAAGGUCAGAAUAAUUAGGGACCGGUUAAAAGAAGCAUCUGAUAGGCAAAAGUCGUAUGCAGAUUUAAAGCGUAAGGAGAUUGAGUACUCAGUAGGUGAUAUGGUCUUCUUAAAGGUUUCUCCUUGGAAGAAGAUAUUAAGGUUCGGUAAGAAGAGAAAGUUAAGUCCACGGUUCAUUGGGCCUUAUCAGGUUUUGAAGCGAGUAGGCCCAGUGGCUUAUCAGUGUGAAUUGCCUCCAGAGUUAGACAGGAUUCAUGAUGUUUUUCACGUCUCCAUGUUAAGGCGUUAUCAUGCUGACCCUGCUCAUGUCCUGCCAGUUGUAGAAAUUGAAGUUCAGACUGAUUUGACCUUUGAGGAGGAGCCUAUGCAAAUAUUGGCUCGAGAUGUUAAGGUCCUCAGAAGGGAAUCUGUCCCAUUAGUGAAAGUACUUUGGUGUAAUCAUGGAAGGGAAGAAGCUACUUGGGAAUUAGAAGAGACUAUGCGUCAACAAUACCCUCAACUAGUUGGAUCAGGUAAAUUUGGAGGACGAAAUUUCUUUAAGGAGGGUAGAGUUGUAACGCCCCAAUUUUUGGGAAUUCUGUGAAUGUUGGCAUAGGUUUAAUUAUGUUGGUGGGCCUCUAAAAGGCCCAAGUUUAAGAUAGAACCCGACAAUUUUAGUUAAUUUUUGUUCCAUAAGAAAAAUGGGGUGAAAUUAUGAAAUAGAACCUAUGUGAAAAUGUUUGAAAAUGCUAUAGGCUAAAUUGAAGUGGCCAAAUAAAUAGGAGUGCAAAAUAGGAGGAUUUGCAUGACAAACCACCCAUUUUAUAUGAAGUGGCCACCCAUCAUGUUAUUGUAGACCAUAUGAGCACUUGAUAUCCAUAAUUCAUGGUACAAAUUGAUAAUGGGUUAGGUAAAUGUUCCAUGAUAAUGGAUUAGGUAAAUAUUCCAUGAUAAUGGGUUAGGUAAAUGUUCCAUGAUAAUGGUUUAGGUAAAUGUUCCAUGAUGGGCAUUUCAUGUCUUUUGUAUUAAAGAAUUAAAUGGAUGAAAUAUGAAAUUUUAUUAAAAGAAAAAGGGGUGAAAAGAACAAAGUUUUGUCUAUCUUUGUUCAUCAUAGCCGAAAGUUAGAGAAGAGAAAUGAGAGGAGAAAGCUCUUGAAUGUUCGGUCACUUGGGGAAGAAAAUUGAAGGUAAGUUCAUGGUAGUUUGCUUCUAUCUUGAUGUUCAUGAGUUCUUCUUGAUUUUACCUUAACUCUUGAAGUAUAUUUUGGUUUUUAGUUGUGUUGUGAGCAUUUAGUCAUGAAUUAAAAUGAAGGAAAUGGUUGUUGUUUCAUGUUCUUUUGAUGAAAAAUGGAAG